ACGUAGGGUGCAAGCGUUAAUCGGAAUUACUGGGCGUAAAGCGUGCGCAGGCGGUUUUGUAAGACAGUGGUGAAAUCCCCGGGCUCAACCUGGGAACUGCCAUUGUGACUGCAAGGCUAGAGUGCGGCAGAGGGGGGUGGAAUUCCGCGUGUAGCAGUGAAAUGCGUAGAUAUGCGGAGGAACACCGAUGGCGAAGGCAAUCCCCUGGGCCUGCACUGACGCUCAUGCACGAAAGCGUGGGGAGCAAACAGGAUUAGAUACCCUGGUAGUCAAGGGCG
RNAcentral lists this ribosomal RNA (278 nucleotides) under uncultured Burkholderiales bacterium. RNAcentral describes it as "partial 16S ribosomal RNA". It matches the Rfam family "Bacterial small subunit ribosomal RNA", at positions 525 to 802 of the family's 1533-position model. Lineage: Bacteria; Pseudomonadati; Pseudomonadota; Betaproteobacteria; Burkholderiales. The record is from RNAcentral.